This 378-nucleotide ribosomal RNA is filed under the name Klebsiella quasipneumoniae. RNAcentral describes it as "bacterial SSU rRNA". It matches the Rfam family "Bacterial small subunit ribosomal RNA", at positions 562 to 940 of the family's 1533-position model. The record is from RNAcentral. Lineage: Bacteria; Pseudomonadati; Pseudomonadota; Gammaproteobacteria; Enterobacterales; Enterobacteriaceae.
AAAGCGCACGCAGGCGGUCUGUCAAGUCGGAUGUGAAAUCCCCGGGCUCAACCUGGGAACUGCAUUCGAAACUGGCAGGCUAGAGUCUUGUAGAGGGGGGUAGAAUUCCAGGUGUAGCGGUGAAAUGCGUAGAGAUCUGGAGGAAUACCGGUGGCGAAGGCGGCCCCUGGACAAAGACUGACGCUCAGGUGCGAAAGCGUGGGGAGCAAACAGGAUUAGAUACCCUGGUAGUCCACGCCGUAAACGAUGUCGAUUUGGAGGUUGUGCCCUUGAGGCGUGGCUUCCGGAGCUAACGCGUUAAAUCGACCGCCUGGGGAGUACGGCCGCAAGGUUAAAACUCAAAUGAAUUGACGGGGGCCCGCACAAGCGGUGGAGCAU